UACGUAGGGGGCAAGCGUUAUCCGGAAUUACUGGGUGUAAAGGGUGAGUAGGCGGUUAAAUAAGCCAUAUGUGAAAGUCUGUAGCUCAACUAUAGAAUUGCAUAAGGAACUGUGUAACUAGAGUGCAGGAGAGGUAAGUGGAAUUCCUAGUGUAGCGGUGAAAUGCGUAGAUAUUAGGAGGAACACCAGUGGCGAAGGCGACCUACUGGACUGAAACUGACGCUGAGACACGAAAGCGUGGGGAGCAAACAGG
This 253-nucleotide ribosomal RNA is filed under the name uncultured bacterium. RNAcentral's name for it is "partial 16S ribosomal RNA". It matches the Rfam family "Bacterial small subunit ribosomal RNA", at positions 524 to 776 of the family's 1533-position model. The record is from RNAcentral.